This 334-nucleotide unclassified non-coding RNA is filed under the name soil metagenome. Its description in RNAcentral is "partial contains 5.8S ribosomal RNA, internal transcribed spacer 2, and large subunit ribosomal RNA". The stretch from base 1 to 120 matches the Rfam family "5.8S ribosomal RNA", at positions 35 to 154 of the family's 154-position model. The record is from RNAcentral.
GAUGAAGAACGUAGCGAAAUGCGAUAAGUAAUGUGAAUUGCAGAAUUCAGUGAAUCAUCGAAUCUUUGAACGCACAUUGCGCCCCCCAGUAUUCUGGCGGGCAUGCCUGUUCGAGCGUCAUUUCAACCAUCAAGCCCUGCUUGUGUUGGGGUCCUGCGGCUGCCCGCAGGCCCUGAAAACCAGUGGCGGGCUCGCUAGUCACACCGAGCGCAGUAGCACAUCUCGCUCAGGGCGUGCGGCGGGCUCCAGCCGUUAAAGCACCCACCUUUCGCAAGGUUGACCUCGGAUCAGGUAGGAAUACCCGCUGAACCUAAGCAUAUCAAUAAGCGGAGGA